This 483-nucleotide ribosomal RNA is filed under the name uncultured bacterium. RNAcentral's name for it is "partial 16S ribosomal RNA". It matches the Rfam family "Bacterial small subunit ribosomal RNA", at positions 28 to 523 of the family's 1533-position model. The record is from RNAcentral.
GACGAACGCUGGCGGCGUGCUUAACACAUGCGAGUCGAACGAUGACCAGGAGCUUGCUCCUGUGAUUAGUGGCGAACGGGUGAGUAACACGUGAGUAACCUGCCCCUGACUCUGGGAUAAGCGUUGGAAACGACGUCUAAUACUGGAUAUGAUCACUGGCCGCAUGGUCUGGUGGUGGAAAGAUUUUUUGGUUGGGGAUGGACUCGCGGCCUAUCAGCUUGUUGGUGAGGUAAUGGCUCACCAAGGCGACGACGGGUAGCCGGCCUGAGAGGGUGACCGGCCACACUGGGACUGAGACGCGGCCCAGACUCCUACGGGAGGCAGCAGUGGGGAAUAUUGCACAAUGGGCGCAAGCCUGAUGCAGCAACGCCGCGUGAGGGAUGACGGCCUUCGGGUUGUAAACCUCUUUUAGUAGGGAAGAAGCGAAAGUGACGGUACCUGCAGAAAAAGCACCGGCUAACUACGUGCCAGCCGCCGCAGUAA